Non-coding RNA from Myotis brandtii (Brandt's bat), 266 nucleotides. Lineage: Eukaryota; Metazoa; Chordata; Mammalia; Chiroptera; Vespertilionidae. The record is from Rfam.
GGAUGUAAGGGCGAUCUGUCUGCGACAUCUGUCACCCCAUUGAUUGCGAGGGUUGAUUUGGCUGAUCUGGCUGCCUAGGUGGGUGUCCCCCUCCUCCCUCAUCGAUCCAUGUGCAUCCCUCCCGAAGCUUUGUGCUUGGUCGAAGAGGACGACCUUCCCCCCAGAGGAGAGGACGGGUCUUUGGUCAAGGGUAUACGAGUAGCUGCACUCCCCUGCUAGAACCUCCAAAGAAGCUCUCAAGAAAGUACAGCUGAACUUCCUCCUGA